AUUGAACGCUGGCGGCAGGCCUAACACAUGCAAGUCGAACGGUAACAGGAAGCAGCUUGCUGCUUCGCUGACGAGUGGCGGACCGGUGAGUAAUGUCUGGGAAGCUGCCUGAUGGAGGGGGAUAACUACUGGAAACGGUAGCUAAUACCGCAUAAUGUCGCAAGACCAAAGAGGGGGACCUUCGGGCCUCUUGCCAUCGGAUGUGCCCAGAUGGGAUUAGCUUGUUGGUGGGGUAACGGCUCACCAAGGCGACGAUCCCUAGCUGGUCUGAGAGGAUGACCAGCCACACUGGAACUGAGACACGGUCCAGACUCCUACGGGAGGCAGCAGUGGGGAAUAUUGCACAAUGGGCGCAAGCCUGAUGCAGCCAUGCCGCGUGUAUGAAGAAGGCCUUCGGGUUGUAAAGUACUUUCAGCGGGGAGGAAGGGAGUAAAGUUAAUACCUUUGCUCAUUGACGUUACCCGCAGAAGAAGCACCGGCUAACUCCGUG
RNAcentral lists this ribosomal RNA (490 nucleotides) under uncultured bacterium. Its description in RNAcentral is "partial 16S ribosomal RNA". It matches the Rfam family "Bacterial small subunit ribosomal RNA", at positions 30 to 507 of the family's 1533-position model. The record is from RNAcentral.